This 200-nucleotide microRNA precursor is filed under the name Hordeum vulgare subsp. vulgare (domesticated barley). RNAcentral describes it as "MIR1435 microRNA precursor family". It matches the Rfam family "MIR1435 microRNA precursor family". Lineage: Eukaryota; Viridiplantae; Streptophyta; Magnoliopsida; Poales; Poaceae. The record is from Rfam by way of RNAcentral.
AACUUUUGGCUCAAGUCAACCGGUGCAAACUUUGACCAAGUUUGUAGAAAAAACUACCAACAACUACAAUACUAAAUAAAUAUAAUAUUAAACUAUAUUUUAUUAUUGAUUUAACACUACUAACUUGGUAUUGUAGUUGUUGGUAUUUUUUUCCAGAAACUUGGUCAAACUUUGUACCAUUUGACUUGAGCCAAAAGUUA